GGCUCAGGAUGAACGCUAGCGGCAGGCUUAAUACAUGCAAGUCGAGGGGUAGCAAGAUUGUAGCAAUACAAUUGUUGACGACCGGCAAACGGGUGCGGAACACGUACACAACCUUCCUACAAGUGGGGAAUAGCCCAGAGAAAUUUGGAUUAAUACCCCGUAACAUAGCGAUGUGGCAUCACAUUGCUAUUAUAGCUUCGGCGCUUGUUGAUGGGUGUGCGGCUGAUUAGAUAGUUGGCGGGGUAACGGCCCACCAAGUCUACGAUCAGUAGCUGAUGUGAGAGCAUGAUCAGCCACACGGGCACUGAGACACGGGCCCGACUCCUACGGGAGGCAGCAGUAAGGAAUAUUGGACAAUGGACGCAAGUCUGAUCCAGCCAUGCCGCGUGAAGGAUUAAGGUCCUCUGGAUUGUAAACUUUCUUUUAUAAGGGACGAAAAAAGGUCUUUCUAGAUCGUCUGACGGUACCUUAUGAAUAAGCACCGGCUAACUCCGUG
Molecule: ribosomal RNA, 496 nt
Filed under: uncultured bacterium
Lineage: Bacteria
Description: bacterial SSU rRNA
Rfam family: Bacterial small subunit ribosomal RNA
Source: RNAcentral